Molecule: long non-coding RNA, 2786 nt
Organism: Malania oleifera
Lineage: Eukaryota; Viridiplantae; Streptophyta; Magnoliopsida; Santalales; Ximeniaceae
Exons: 2
Source: RefSeq, a predicted model, not a curated record
AUUUUUUUAACUUAAAGCCAACUAAAAUCGUUCUCAAAAUGAAGCUGCUUACAUGGGGCAGCCCCAUCUGUCUGUAUUCUGAAGCAUGGCCGGAGGGACUCGGGGGAGGAUUUGUGGUAAUCCGAUGAACGCCUGUGUCUCUUUAAUGUUGGGCUUAAAAGAUGUUCUUUGUUCAUUGCAAUUUGCCGACAUGCCGAUGAACCUCUUAAGCCCUCAGCCUCCCUUGUAAAUUUCCGCUCUUUUGAAAUCUCCUUCUCUCACUUUGUUCGUGUUUUUGGGGCCGGCCAUUGCUUUGCCAAAGGGAGAACAGUUCAUGGCAAGAUGAUAACAUCUGGGUUUCGCCCAGAUGUUUAUACAAACAACUGUCUGGUUUCGAUGUACUUGAAGUUUACUCGGGCACAUAAUGCGUCUAAUGUGUUCGAUCAGAUGCCUGAGAGAAAUCUAGUAUCAUGGGUGGCCUUAGUUUAUGGGUAUUUCCAGGUGGGUUUUGCUGAAGAAGCUUUAGACUGUUUGAGGUUAAUGGUUGAUGGUGGCUUUAAACCAAAUGAUUACGCAAUGUCGGGGCUGUAUCUGCUUGUACCGGCAUAGGAGCUUCCAAAACCGGGAAGGAAAUUCAUGGAAGGAUUUAUAGGACUUGGGAAGAGUUGAAUAGCUUUGUUAGAAGCAGUCUGAUCAAUAUGUACGGGAAAUGUGGCUUAUUGAACUCAGCUCAAUCGGUGCUUGAUGCAACUCUGGUGCCAAAUUCGGUCUCUUGGACUUCACUUCGUUCAACUAAUUGACGGUGUGGGAAAAAUACGGUGGGUUUAGAAUUCUCUUGUGCUAGUUUCAUAGGUGCUUGGGUGCUGCAUUAGAAAAUUUUGAAGUUGGGAUUCAAUUACAUCCACUUGUUGUCAAGUUUGGACUUGGAUUGAAUCAGUUUAUGACGACAGGUGUGGUUCAUUUUUAUGCCAAAUGUGGGGAACUCGGCUCAGCUUGGAAAGCUUUUCUAGAUAUCAAUAAGCCACAUUUGUGUGCGUGGACUGUGCUGAUAGCAGGGUUCGGUCAACAGGAGAAAGGAAGAGAACCCACUGAUCUCUCCUGUAAGUUGCACUCUUCAGAUCUCAAACUAGUUGAGGGAACAUUCUCAUUGGUGCUUGGUGCCUUCAUUGGAGCAGUCCAAAUAGAAAUUGGAAACAACUCCACUGAUUGAUCAUAAAUUGGGAUUUAGUGUAUUUAUAUAUGUAGGGAAUGCUAUUUUGGGCUUCUAUGCGAAGUGUGGUCUCCUCAAGGAAUCCUCAAUGAUAUUUAGAGAAAUGGAUGAACACAAUGUCGUCUCCUGGAAUGCUCUGAUCUAUAGACAUACUAGAUUAGGUCAUUAUGGAGAAGUUGUUGAGCUUCUAGACCUUAUGUUGUUUGAAGGGUUUGGACCCAAUCCUCACACAUGUUCUAGUAUUUCGAGCAUCUGUGGGGAUCUCCUAGCAAUAGAAAGGGGCUGGCAAACCCAUUGCUGCAUUAUAAAACUUGGAUUUGAUUCCGAUGUUGCUGGGUGUGCACUAACAGACAUAUAUGCCAAGUUUGGAAGAUUGAGCGAAGCUUGGAAAAAUUUUGAUAACCUAAUCACAAGGAAUAUGGUUUGUUGGAAUGCUAUGUUUGAUGGAUAUGCGCAUCAUGGAUUUGGGAAAGAGGCUUUAGAGAUUUAUAGUAUGAUGCAGAAAGAGGGUGUCAAACCCAAUGAUGUCACAUUUGUGGAAGUUCUGUCUGCCCGUCGAUAUGUGGGACUUUUACAAAAGGGAUGACACCACUUCGAAUCCAUGACCAAAGAACAUGGCAUUGCCCCAAGAGUGAAUCAUUUAGUCUGUAUGGUAAGUCUAUUUGCCCAUAGAGGACAGACAAAAAAGGCUAAGAGUUUUUAAUUAGUCUUCCUAUGGAACUGAAUAAGGAUAUUUGGGAACUUCUUUUGUUGGCUUGCAAGAUCCAUAGGACUUGGUUCAGGGAGAUAUGCUGCAGAGAAAAUUUUGAGUGUCGAUCCAGAAGAUUCUUCAGCUUAUCUUACACUAUCAAACAUAUAUGCCAAGGCAAAAUGUGGGAUGAAACAGCACAAGUCAGAAAGGCAAUGAAGGAGGAAGAAUUGAAGAAAGAUACAGGAUAUAGCUGGACUGAGUUAAAGAGCAAGAUAUAUUCUUUGCUUCUGGUCAUAAUGCACAUUUUUAAGAAUAUAAUCUCUGUGAAAUUUUGAAUGGAUUGACAGUCCUAUUGGUUGAUGUAGGAUAUAUUCCUAUGGCCAUUUUCUCAGUAUAUUAAUGGGAGUAAGUAAAGGAGCAAUGGGUGGAUAAAUAUGUAGUGGCAUAGCAUCUUUCUCAACUUUCAGCUAAGAUUUGCUCUAUAAUUCAGUCUGGAAGUUAAGGACAGCCUCUCAAAAUCUUGGUGUGUGGCACUCUUGUCGCACUCUGGAGUUUGCUGGACAAGGUGGGCACGAACAGCAUGCGAAUGCAAAGAUCAAGGAUUUAUUUUGGCAUUACUAUAAUGGCACGACAGGUAAGGAAAUAUGUGUUUCCUAUAAUAAUCACAGCUAUCCUAACUAAUGAGCGAGAACGUGUAUGUAUAUGCUUGAUAAGUGGUUAGAGAGUCUGUAAACUGAGUCACAAUGAUGAGCACUUAUUUAAUUUGCCACUCAAAUAGCCACCAAUGAGCGCGGAACCAGCUUAGUGUGGUGGUGGGGCUCCUACAUUCCUGUGUACUUAGUACCGGUAGUGAUUUUAGAACAUUAUUGAUUUUAUAUUCUAUUCUUAUUUUCAAUCAGAGAAAAA